Populus trichocarpa (black cottonwood) is the source of this 3940-nucleotide long non-coding RNA. RefSeq lists it as uncharacterized. The record is from RefSeq and is a predicted model, not a curated record. The transcript is spliced from 3 exons. Lineage: Eukaryota; Viridiplantae; Streptophyta; Magnoliopsida; Malpighiales; Salicaceae.
AAAUACAAAAAUAAACAGGCUCAUAAUACAUGAGAUACACUAGUUGGAUGAUGGAGGAAGGAUAAGGAUAAGGAUAAGGUAUUAUUGACCCAGCAUUCUUAAGAGAGAAAGAUCCCAAUCUAUAAUUUGGAUUUUUUUAAAAUUAACAUAAUUAAUUAAAAAUAUUAACAGAAUAACACAAUUGAAAAAAGAAUUGAUGAAAUAAUAUAGUUUUUAUAUGUCACAUGAUUAAAAAACAUAAUUUUUAUAACUUGUCACUAUUCAAAAUAAUAAUUUCUAAUAAAAAAUAUUAAACGGGCGAAGAGAAGAGAGACAAGAAAGAAAAAAUAAAAAAAAUCUUAAAUACACAACGAAGUUCAAAUUACAAUACAACUGAUACUAUUAAAAAAAUCUUGAUAAGAUAAAUUCAAUAAUAUCAAAAAAUAUAAACAAUAAUGACCCGAGUGAGUUAUAUUUACUGCUUAUAAAGUAAAAAUAUUUUACUAUUACCAAAUAAAAUCAAAGAAGAAAAUGUUAGGGAGAAAAAUUCAAAUUAUUUAAGAUACAUAUUUAAAAGAUUAUAAAUAUAAUAAAUUAUUUGAAUAUAUAAAUGAAGGCACAAAGAUUCCUCAAAUUAAUUGGAGGAUAUCUCUUUCAUAUUUUUAUCCAUUCCUACGCCCACGUAUAUACGGAGACGAAGAUCCUUCAAUGUCCUUCCCUAUGAUAAAUAGAGGAAUACAAUUUCCAUCCGUACAAAUAGACCAAACAAGUACAUUGCAAUCCUUUACAAAAUUUCCAGGUCAGUAUGAAACAAACGUGUCACAACCCAAUAUCUUUGUUUCAAAGAAAAUCAAUGCAGCUACGAUCUCAUCAAAACAGUCCAUAAAAAAUCAACACAAAACAUAAAACCAUAAUUUAUAAUUAUCAUUUUAAUAUUUUAUAUUUAAUUUACUUGUAAAAUAUUAAUUUGAUUUCAUUCUAAUUAAGAAUUAUCAUGUAAAUUAAGGUUAUAUAUUAACUAAAAAAUAUUUAUAUUAAAUUUAAAAUAAAAAAUAAGUUUAUGACACUGUCUAAAUAUGAAAAUAUAAAAAAUAUAAUUAUAAUAUUUUAUAUUGCUAAAAAGUACUUAUAUAUAAAAGAAAAAAAAUUAUAUUGUCCAUGUUUUUAUUUUAUUUAGAAAACAGUGGAAAGCUUAUAUUAAAAAACUAUGUAGAAUCUCUAAAAUAUAUUUUUCAAACUCAAUAUAAAUUUUAAAAAAUAGUUUUUUUUUUAGAUAAAUAAAAUUUUAAAUUUUAGUUUUUUAUGAUUCCAGAUUCUUACAAAAUUAAAAUACUAUAUCGUUUCUAAUUAAUUAAACCGCCCUGGUCUUUCUCACUAAUUUGCUGCCGAAACUUCCCUAAGGACUAACUUUGACCUUUUAAAUCUUUAUUACAAGUACAGUGAUCACUAGUUGCUGGCUAAAUCAAUUUUGAUAGAGUUGCAUGUUUAUGUAUGUUGUCAGAGCUAGCUAGCUGGUGAAGAUGGGGGUUGAUCAGCAGCAAGGGUCACCGUCCUACUACAGUUUUCUUGGUGUUAGUUCAGAAUCUUCUUUCGACGAACUUAUCUCAAGCUUGCUAUGAUAUGUAUUAUUAAACGAUUAUUUUUUUUGGUUUGAUAUAUAUUUCUUCUGAAUUAAGUUGCAAAUUAAUUAAUUAGUUAGCCCAGGUGGAAUAAUGAUUUAUGAAUGGUUGUUUGUUAGUGCAGCAAUGGCAUCCAGAUAGGAGGACAAGAACACCUUCUCUUUUGGGUGAAGCCAAAUGUAAAUUUCAGCAAAUCCAAAUUAAGGCCUAUUCAGUAUUAUCCGAUCAGAGGAAAUGAACAAUGCAUGAUGCAGGAUUAAAUGACCCUUUAGACGAAAAAGAAGAAGGAGAAGAUGAUGAUGAUGAUGAUGAUGAGGAAUGCACCAAGCUAUUCGAUCCUAACCAGUCAAUGAAUCUGCUGCACAAUCUCCACGAGUAGUGAAGGUGUAAGAAAAUGUGCUAAAUGGAUUUGAUCAUAUGUCCCCUACUAAGAAAGCCUCUAGUGUAUAAGCUGUUAUUAAGGAGAAGCCAAAUAAACAUAUCUAAAGGUGUCAGUCCUUUUCAUAAAAAAAUGAAGAAACUCCAGGAUAUUGAAUUUGAUCAUUGUUGUGAUAGACUGACUUAAUACUGUAGUUACCAUCCUUCUCAUAAACCCAUUGCCAUGUACAACUAAAUCUGAAAGAUUACUGAAUCUGAAAGAUUGCACAGCUUCAAAUUUUGCCUUUUGUUUUAAUUCACUGUAUCAAUGAAUUCUCUGAUACGUUUUGUUUUUCUAGUGCUCCUUCCUUUCCUUGGGCUAAUCAUGUUUGUUUGUGCCAGGGACUUUCUGAUUUCGAGCAAGAAGUAUUGAAUCUCACAGCGCAGGAUAAGAGACAGGUCCGGAAGUUGAUCUAUCCUUAAUUAACUAACUAAUUUUUCAUGAUUAACAUCUCCUAGCGCGAAGGAUGUUUCGUUUGUUGCAUGAGGCAUCGCAAUUUCUGUGACUGUUCUUUCUUUCUUGUGAGUUUUUGUUGAUAAACUUGAAUUAAGGUCCUACCAAACUGUUUGAUAUUACCAAAUUUGAGUGUGGGACAAUCCAAACGACUUACCCCUAUCACUGUUGAUUCUUAGAAUUGACAUUUUUUCUUACACGAGGCUUUAUGCAAUUUGAGUCAAUAAUUUUUCUUUCUCAUGCAUCAUCUUUAUAUAGCCAUUAUAGAAUCAACAAGGUUUUUUUUCACAGAAAUUAAAAACAUCUCUUGUGAUUUGCAACUCGAUAUGUCUUAUGAAUUUUGCCAGUGUUGAUAAAGAAAACCGAAUUCUACAGAAAGAUCCUUCAUUCUUUUUACUGUAGUGUAGGGGUAGUUAUGAAAACAUUUGUUAUGUUGGGGGAAAUCAUUAUCACAGUGAGUGCAGCCCAUGAAUUUGGGGAAGUCGACGAGAUGUCCAACAUACUUGUAGUUUAUUAGCCUGAGUCGUGGAAGGUCCUGACGUACGGCCAUAUGUAAACUGAAGGAAGGAUAAGAAUCUUGCUUAGACUAUCACAGCGCGCAUUUGGAAGAGAAAACGUUAAACUCUAUCUAGGUGGAGUAGUUGAGAGGUUUUAAGGUACAAAUCAAUCUGUUAAAUGAAUUGUGCCCAUUGAUAAAGAAAAUUGAUGCUUUAAGAAACAUCCAUCUUUCUCUUUUUUUUUUUUUUUUAGUUUAACGUGGGUGUCUGAGCCAGCUUGCGCGUACCUCGACUAAUCCCACGGGCCCUGAAGUUAAUGACCAUGUAAGCCUCCAGUGGCUAUCAUAUGAGCAACCACAUGGCUCGAACCUGAGACCACAGAGAAAGCAAAUCUCUUAAUCCCAAGUUCUUACCACUGAGCCACCAUCUAGAUGGUUUCAUCUUUCUCUUUUGUUUUUGAAGUGUAGGGACUUUUAUGAAAGCAUUUUUUUCCAGUUUUGAUAUGAGGAGAAAUGAUGACCAACGAGUGCAACUCUUGAAUUUGGGAAGUUGACAAGAUAUUAAAACCAACUUGGAGGUCCUGCAGCCGUGCUUAAACUAUAGAAAGGUGGGAUAAGGAUUUUGCUUAUAUGUCUCGUCUAACUAUUAUGAUCAUACGAUUAUAUAUGUGGAAGAAGAUGUGCGAACUCAAUCUAAAUGGUGGAAUAGUUCGGAUAAUUAGAAGUCAGCUGGCCUCCAUAUUGGGACUGAUAUUCCACUGUUGGCACAUUUUUAUUAUCUAUAAAUUAAGUUCAAUAGCAUAACGUUUUUGCUGAAGCUACACCACUUUUCACCCUUUUAUAUUUUAUCAUAGAUUAUAAUAAUGAAAUUUUUAAUAGUUUUUAAUUUGAUUCUUAAAUUUUUAUUGUAUACAAUUGAGCCCAAAUUAAAGCUCAAUUACAUGUUUUUUUUGGUGCGAGUGUUGAAUUGCAAGA